RNAcentral lists this ribosomal RNA (248 nucleotides) under uncultured Lachnospiraceae bacterium. RNAcentral's name for it is "partial 16S ribosomal RNA". It matches the Rfam family "Bacterial small subunit ribosomal RNA", at positions 524 to 771 of the family's 1533-position model. Lineage: Bacteria; Bacillati; Bacillota; Clostridia; Lachnospirales; Lachnospiraceae. The record is from RNAcentral.
UACGUAGGGGGCAAGCGUUAUCCGGAUUCACUGGGUGUAAAGGGAGCGUAGACGGCCGCGCAAGUCUGGAGUGAAAGCCCGGGGCCCAACCCCGGGACUGCUCUGGAAACUGCGUGGCUCGAGUGCGGGAGGGGCAGGCGGAAUUCCUGGUGUAGCGGUGAAAUGCGUAGAUAUCAGGAGGAACACCGGCGGCGAAGGCGGCCUGCUGGACCGCGACUGACGUUGAGGCUCGAGAGCGUGGGGAGCAA